This 448-nucleotide ribosomal RNA is filed under the name uncultured bacterium. RNAcentral describes it as "bacterial SSU rRNA". It matches the Rfam family "Bacterial small subunit ribosomal RNA", at positions 64 to 507 of the family's 1533-position model. The record is from RNAcentral.
GAGCGGAUGAAGGGAGCUUGCUCCUGGAUUCAGCGGCGGACGGGUGAGUAAUGCCUAGGAAUCUGCCUGGUAGUGGGGGACAACGUUUCGAAAGGAACGCUAAUACCGCAUACGUCCUACGGGAGAAAGCAGGGGACCUUCGGGCCUUGCGCUAUCAGAUGAGCCUAGGUCGGAUUAGCUAGUUGGUGAGGUAAUGGCUCACCAAGGCGACGAUCCGUAACUGGUCUGAGAGGAUGAUCAGUCACACUGGAACUGAGACACGGUCCAGACUCCUACGGGAGGCAGCAGUGGGGAAUAUUGGACAAUGGGCGAAAGCCUGAUCCAGCCAUGCCGCGUGUGUGAAGAAGGUCUUCGGAUUGUAAAGCACUUUAAGUUGGGAGGAAGGGUUGUAGAUUAAUACUCUGCAGUUUUGACGUUACCGACAGAAUAAGCACCGGCUAACUCUGUG